ACGGAAGGCAGCAGUGGGGAAUAUUGGGCAAUGGGCGAAAGCCUGACCCAGCAACGCCGCGUGAAGGAAGAAGGUCUUCGGAUUGUAAACUUCUUUUAUGAGGGACGAAGGAAUUGACGGUACCUCAUGAAUAAGCCACGGCUAACUACGUGCCAGCAGCCGCGGUAAUACGUAGGUGGCAAGCGUUAUCCGGAUUUACUGGGUGUAAAGGGCGCGUAGGCGGGGAAGCAAGUCAGAUGUGAAAUCCAUGGGCUCAACUCAUGAACUGCAUUUGGAACUGUUUUUCUCGAGUGUCGGAGAGGUAGAUGGAAUUCCUAGUGUAGCGGUGAAAUGCGUAGAUAUUAGGAAGAACACCGGUGGCGAAGGCGAUCUACUGGACGAUAACUGACGCUGAGGCGCGAAAGCGUGGGGAGCAAACAGGAUUAGAUACCCUGGUA
RNAcentral lists this ribosomal RNA (437 nucleotides) under uncultured Oscillospiraceae bacterium. RNAcentral describes it as "partial 16S ribosomal RNA". It matches the Rfam family "Bacterial small subunit ribosomal RNA", at positions 341 to 792 of the family's 1533-position model. The record is from RNAcentral. Lineage: Bacteria; Bacillati; Bacillota; Clostridia; Eubacteriales; Oscillospiraceae.